This 253-nucleotide ribosomal RNA is filed under the name uncultured bacterium. RNAcentral describes it as "partial 16S ribosomal RNA". It matches the Rfam family "Bacterial small subunit ribosomal RNA", at positions 524 to 776 of the family's 1533-position model. The record is from RNAcentral.
UACAGAGGGUGCGAGCGUUAAUCGGAAUUACUGGGCGUAAAGGGCGCGUAGGCGGCCUACUAAGUCAGACGUGAAAUCCCCGGGCUUAACCUGGGAACUGCACUUGUGACUGCAUAGCUGGAGUACGGCAGAGGGGGAUGGAAUUCCGCGUGUAGCAGUGAAAUGCGUAGAUAUGCGGAGGAACACCGAUGGCGAAGGCAGUCCCCUGGGCCUGUACUGACGCUCAUGCACGAAAGCGUGGGGAGCAAACAGG